AGAGUUUGAUCCUGGUUCAGGACGAACGCUGGCGGCGUGCCUAACACAUGCAAGUCGAACGAUUCGAUUUCGAACUUCGAUCUUCGAAUUUCGAAUAUCGAAUAGUGGCGGACGGGUGAGUAACGCGUGGGUAACCUACCCAUAAAGUCGGGACAACCCUUGGAAACGAGGGCUAAUACCGGAUAAGCUUAGGGAGUGGCAUCACUCAUUAAGGAAAGGCGGCCUCUGAGUAUGCUGCCGAUUAUGGAUGGACCCGCGUCUGAUUAGCUGGUUGGUGGGGUAAAGGCCUACCAAGGCGACGAUCAGUAGCCGGCCUGAGAGGGUGAACGGCCACACUGGGACUGAGACACGGCCCAGACUCCUACGGGAGGCAGCAGUGGGGAAUCUUCCGCAAUGGACGAAAGUCUGACGGAGCAACGCCGCGUGUAUGAAGAAGGUCUUCGGAUUGUAAAGUACUGUCUAUGGGGAAGAAUGACUGGUUCAGGAAUAUUGAAUCAGAAUGACGGUACCCAAGGAGGAAGCCCCGGCUAACUACGUGCCAGCAGCCGCGGUAAUAC
RNAcentral lists this ribosomal RNA (557 nucleotides) under uncultured Desulfosporosinus sp. RNAcentral describes it as "bacterial SSU rRNA". It matches the Rfam family "Bacterial small subunit ribosomal RNA", at positions 8 to 526 of the family's 1533-position model. The record is from RNAcentral. Lineage: Bacteria; Bacillati; Bacillota; Clostridia; Eubacteriales; Desulfitobacteriaceae.